AACGAACGCUGGCGGCAUGCCUAACACAUGCAAGUCGAACGAGACCUCCGGGUCUUGUGGCGCACGGGUGCGUACCGCGUGGGAAGCUGCACUUAGGUUAGGAAUCCCUCCCCGUGAGGGAUGCUCAUACCGGAUAAUGUCUUCGCACCUAAGAUUUCUCGCCUUUGGAUGGGCCCGCGUUGGAUUAGGCAGUUGGUAGGGUAAAAGCCUACCAAGGCGACGAUCCAUAGCUGGUCUGAGAGGAUGAUCAGCCACACUGGGACUGAGACACGGCCCAGACUCCGACGGGAGGCAGCAGUGGGGAAUAUUGGACAAUGGGCGAAAGCCUGAUCCAGCAAUGGCGCGUGAGUGAUGAAGGCCUUAGGGUUGUAAAGCUCUUUUACCCGGGAUGAUAAUGACAGUACCGGGAGAAUAAGCCCCGGCUAACUCCGUG
This 433-nucleotide ribosomal RNA is filed under the name uncultured bacterium. Its description in RNAcentral is "partial 16S ribosomal RNA". It matches the Rfam family "Bacterial small subunit ribosomal RNA", at positions 29 to 507 of the family's 1533-position model. The record is from RNAcentral.